Molecule: ribosomal RNA, 253 nt
Filed under: uncultured bacterium
Lineage: Bacteria
Description: partial 16S ribosomal RNA
Rfam family: Bacterial small subunit ribosomal RNA
Source: RNAcentral
UACAGAGGUCUCAAGCGUUGUUCGGAUUCAUUGGGCGUACAGGGUGCGUAGGUGGCGCUGUAAGUCGGGUGUGAAAUUUCGGAGCUUAACUCCGAAACUGCAUUCGAUACUGCGGUGCUUGAGGACUGGAGAGGAGACUGGAAUUCAUGGUGUAGCAGUGAAAUGCGUAGAGAUCAUGAGGAAGACCAGUGGCGAAGGCGGGUCUCUGGACAGUUCCUGACACUGAGGCACGAAGGCCAGGGGAGCAAACGGG